This 429-nucleotide ribosomal RNA is filed under the name Gemmatimonadota bacterium. RNAcentral describes it as "Gemmatimonadetes bacterium partial 16S ribosomal RNA". It matches the Rfam family "Bacterial small subunit ribosomal RNA", at positions 355 to 776 of the family's 1533-position model. The record is from RNAcentral. Lineage: Bacteria; Pseudomonadati; Gemmatimonadota.
UAGGGAAUCUUCGGCAAUGGACGAAAGCCUGACCGAGCAACGCCGCGUGAGUGAAGAAGGUUUUCGGAUCGUAAAACUCUGUUGUUAGAGAAGAACAAGGACGUUAGUAACUGAACGUCCCCUGACGGUAUCUAACCAGAAAGCCACGGCUAACUACGUGCCAGCAGCCGCGGUAAUACGUAGGUGGCAAGCGUUGUCCGGAUUUAUUGGGCGUAAAGCGAGCGCAGGCGGUUUCUUAAGUCUGAUGUGAAAGCCCCCGGCUCAACCGGGGAGGGUCAUUGGAAACUGGGAGACUUGAGUGGAGAAGAGGAGAGUGGAAUUCCAUGUGUAGCGGUGAAAUGCGUAGAUAUAUGGAGGAACACCAGUGGCGAAGGCGGCUCUCUGGUCUGUAACUGACGCUGAGGCUCGAAAGCGUGGGGAGCAAACAGG